GGGCCGAUGUCGGUAGCGACGAGCCCAGUCCUCCGCUGGCCUCGGCUUUUAGUUGUGGUGGGGAAAGGUGCGCCUCUUCCUCCAGACAAAUCCAGGUUUUCCCGGGUAAAUCAGUUUUAAAACGUUGCAAUGAUAAAAAAGGGGUGUUUGAAGCCCCGUCUGUUUAUUGUGUGUUUGCGUGCGAGGUGGCGUGCUGGGUUUCUGAUUCAUGGCUGGAGCCCUGAGCGCUCCUGCAGUGUCGCCGUAACUGAAACAUGCAGGUGGAUCUGGGCUGAUCCUUGCUUGUUUCCUGAUUAAAAGCGCCGUGGUCAUCUGGAAGGCGGGUGACUGAUUUGGCUUCUUAUAUCCCUGAUGUAUUUCCACUCCCUGCUCCUUUCAGUUCUUGAAUCACAACCACAACUCAGUGCCUGCCUUCCCGCUCUUUGCUUUCUUUUUCAGUGGAGCAUCCUAUUAAGGAUGUGUUAAUCAAAGGCACUUGUGGUAAAGCUGGGAGAGAGAGGGAGGUGAAGACAAGACAUAAGUUCUGUGAUCAAAUAAAGCUGUCCUGGGGAUGUUCCUUAGAAUCUCAGUAUUAGUCAAAAUGCUGUUACAGUAUUCUCAGGAAACGAUUUGUCUUUAUAAUCACAAUUAAUUAUCAGUUAUUGCUAGUGAUGUCAAAGAGCAAGUAUGGCAUCCUCUUUACAGCACAGAGUUGAUAGUGGCUUUCUCCCCUUGGUUUCACGGGGAUCAUUGUGACAAGGGAUACGCUUGGGCUUCUGAAGCUGUGGCUAAACUCUGAGCUCAGGCAGUGUCUUCUUGGAACCAGAUGCAUUUUGGUCACCAAAACUCAUUGCCCAAAAGAUUGCUUUCUAAUUAACAUGAAAUAAGUUUCACUUUAAACAUAAGUUUUAACAAAUAAAAAACAAAUAUGUUUAUAUAACCAGACUCCCAUGCCAAGAUUAUAAAUUACAUCUCAUCUAAUCUCCAUGAAAUAAAGUUUUAAUAAAUAAGAAACAAAUAAGUUAUUACAGCUAAGAUGUGGCUAUAUGUCCUGUGUAGUCUUCUGUAACAUGCAAAUAAGUUUAUUUCAACGUGUUUCCUUUCAUAUGUUAAAUGUUUCCUUCCAAAUGAUAAAUGUUAAACAGUUAUCAUUCUUCCUACAAAAGAGAGCAGUAGGGUGAGAAACAAACUCUCCUCAGCUGUCACUUUUGUUCGAGAAAACAAAAUCCCUAUUUCAGAAAGACAAGGUAUUACUCUUCCGGUUUUCUAAAUUGUUUCUUCUUUUGUAUAAAGCUAUCCAGUGGUAGAAUUAAUAUAAAACUAUCCAGUGGUAGAAUUAACGUUGCCGGUGCAAAUACAUCUUCUGCUUGAACUUUAUCUAGGAUCCCAAGUAGCUUGGCUGAAAGUGUGUCUAGAAAUCAUCAACAAUUUUACAUGAAUAUCAUAAUUGUUUAAAUGACCAAUCCAAGGUGGCAGCUGCCCCAUUCCCUUUGCUACUGAACACAUUAAAAACUGGUUGAAUUAAAACUUGACAGCUAGCAAGUACUGAAGUAUGUGAGAUCACUAUCUAGAUGAAGUGCCCGGUUGAGAAAAUUUAGAUACAAUAUGAGAGAACGGUGUUUUUUACACCGUUUUACAAGCCAGUUUUCUAUCGAGUCUCUGUUCAUCCUUCUUAAGUGAUGUAAACAACUUUCCUUCUAAAUUUUGUGAGACACUACAGUGACCUUCUUUGAUUAGAGAUAGUAUUGUGUUGGAUGGAAAACCAGACUCCUACACCAAGACUAUAAAUUACAUCUCAUCUAAUCUCCAAGAAAUAAACAGAAGUCUUUUUAAUUAAAUUGGAUUAGGUCCAUAGGAAACAUACACAGGAUUCUGUCAGAGCCACUAGUUAAAGUCUUAAAAAAAAAAAAAUUUUUUUUCUAACUACCUGUUCUUGAAGGAUCUAAUCUCAAAAUCUCAGCCUUUAGGAUGAAGUACUGUGGAAGUUCCAGUCUGAAAAUGUAGCUUGCAUUCAGAAAAUAACUACAAUUUUUGAAAAAUUAUAGCUCUUGCAACUCUUUCAAGACAAUUUGCACCAUGCGACUGUCAGCACAUGCAUUCACUACAUAGAGAUACUGCUUUAAUUUAUGUUACAGGUUAUCUUUACUUGCUUGUGACAGGUUUAACAGUGUUUAGCCAAGAAGUAAUACCAAUCUGAAAGAAUAGAUGUGGGUAUGUAAACCAUGUAAUAGCAUGCACAAAGCAGUAUCUGCCAUGCUACUGCUCUCUGGGAAAGCAAAUCAAAAUUGAUUUGUGAAUCUUAUUCCCCAACAAUGGUGAUGGAUGUGUAAAGGAAGCUUGCUUAAAGUCUGGUCCUUUGAAGUAUGUGUGUUCAGAAGACUAGCCAGGAACCAUCAUUCAAAAAGUCUCCAGUUUAUGGCUUUCCUGUAGAACUUGGAAUUUUUUUAUUGGUUAAAAUGAAAUGAACUCUUACCUACUUUCUAGUUGUAUUGAAUUGUGGUUGCUAGGUGGUGAAAUUUGCAAAUAUGUUCUACUUGUCCAAUAUAAAAAUGAUGAGUCCUUCCAUAUACUUGCAUUGUAUGUCUUUCUUGGCUUCAUAAGGAUAAUAUUUUCUUUGGCAGAAACAUUCUGUUCAGAGUGUUGCACUAGAAGGCUGUAAAACUGUUUGCUUUUAAAUUCUUUGUCUUCAUGACCGUGACAGCUUCUGGCUGUGAAGGUAGAAUUUGUUUCCAGAAACAUUGAUGAGUGCUACAACUGGCCUGCACUUAAUCUCGGACUUUGAUAGGGAUCAGUAAUGCUUCGGUGGAAACGAACUGUCACUGAACCAAAGAUGAAUGGGCUGCUUGAAGAGAACUCUAAUUUGCAUGAGGUCUGUGCAAGAACUGACAAAAAGUGACUUGCUCAACUCCUGAAUCAGACAUUUUGUGUGACAUCAGCAAGUACAGCAUAGGGCUUAUGUUGGAUGCAUAGUACUCCCAUUCUAGGCGUGAUACAAAAUACCUGGCAGGGAGUCCUUAUCUCCUCUGUUCUUUGGAGGCAGUAACUACCUGUGUCCUUAGCAGCUCUCUUCUCUCCCUGGAGCCUGAAAGAGGUCAGGACUCAUGUUAGAGGAUAUGAGAGAUGCAGAUGUGUAAGGAAUGCUAUAAAUCUUGGUGGUAUAAAGAUUUUAUUAUAUUAUUUAUUGCAGUAGGAACCUCUUCAGUGGUAGGGCUAAAAGGAUAACGGAGGCAACUGAGAUCCCUCUGCUUGCAUACUUCCUUUGAAAGUUGUGCAAGUGACUAUUCCCAGUUUUUGUUUUAAUGUAAGUCUGGUAGCUUCCAAUUGCAUUGGUAAUAUGAGCAAAUCUCUCACAGUUUUAAUAGGAGAUGUUCAUAUUUAAUGUCUGCAGCAUGCGCUGUUUAUACAUAAGGAUAUCAUCACCAUGAAAAUUAAAAGACAUGAGUAGUUCCACGUUUCUUCUUAUGGAGAAUUUAAAUACAAGUAAACUGGAAAAAAAAGCAGUCUGAUUAUUAAGAUGAAAUACUUUGGCCUUCAUGUUAAGUUGUUAUCAUACCUAAGACGAAGAGUUUGCAACAUGCUGGUAAAAAAAUGUUUCAGGUGCCAAGAUAAUUAUUGAUGUUUGAUAUACAUGUCUUGUUCCAUCUCCAAAGUUCAUCAGCCAUCCCUACAAGGCAACAUCGAGUUCCAACUCCUACUGUAGCUGAAAGCAUGUUUACCUUUCAACUCUGGGAACAAGAAUUGUCCUCUUGGGUAAUUGUAUGAAAUAAUAGACUUCACACAUCUGAUCAGUCCUAUGUGUUGUUUUUUACUAUGUUACUCUAAUAAUUGCAGCAUUAUUUAUUUAUGGUUGCACAUUUGUAAUAAUCUUGCAAGUUUAUAAUAUUAGAAAGAUAUAUAUUUAGGAAAAAGAGUGAAAGUUGUUAGUGUUUUUCUAUCAGUAGUCUUCAUAUAGUCAGACCAAAUAAAACAUACAACCUCUCCUUUUAUAACACACAGACUCCCCAGGGCAGUGGGCACAACCUCGAGCUGCCAGAGCUGUAGGAGCAUUUGGAUGCUGAUCUUGGACAUAGGGCUUGUGGUUGAGUGGUGCUGUGUGGAACCAGGAGUUGGACUCAGUGAUCCCUGCGGUUCCCUUCCAACUCGGGAUGUUCUGCAAUUCUAAGAAAAGAUAGAGUGUGUAAUCAGCCUAUACGAAUUUUACUGGAAGAAACAAAGCAGAUGCUCAUUUUAUAUUUAUUCAUAGAAAUAUUUUCAAUUUGAAUAGCUGGGGCCUGAAUUCCAAAGACAAACUGAUAAUGUUUUCUUGCUUUUCUCCAAGGAAGUUAACAGAUCAUCUAUUUUUAUCGAUUAUAUUUUUUCUCUUAUUCAUUUCUCUUGUUUUGUCUGUUCAUUUAUGGUCUGUCUUUUGAAUGUUCCUCAGUGAUUUUCAUUGUCUAUUUUUAUGUCACUUGGCAAAAACCAAAGUGAUAAAUUACAGACUCUUUGUUACAGAGAACCAUCACCAAUAUCUUUACUGUUGUGGCACUUUUAUGGGAUGUCUUGUCUUUUCCUUUCAGUUAUGAAUGACAGCCUGCAUGAGAUUUGAAAAUGAGAUGGGAAAAGGGAAGCAUCGUAGCUAUUUGUAAAGCUGUAGUUGCAAUGUAUAGAAGGAAACGUGAUUAAAAUCUUUAAAUGAAUGCUUGAUCCCUUCCUGUUCUGCGUCAUUCUGUUUUUAUGAGCUGAUCAGGAUUAUGUCCUGUCAUUAUUUGGAGUUCUAGUAUAGUUACUUUUCUUUAAGUUUUUUCCCACUGUAAUUUCUGAUCCCAUUGCCAAGAUUAAUGACUCUUGUCUUACAACAGCACAGAGGGAUUUA
This is a long non-coding RNA of Phasianus colchicus (ring-necked pheasant), 4831 nucleotides long. RefSeq lists it as uncharacterized. The record is from RefSeq and is a predicted model, not a curated record. Lineage: Eukaryota; Metazoa; Chordata; Aves; Galliformes; Phasianidae.